ACUCCGUCGCGGUCCUGCGACAGGUCUCAAAGAUNACGACGGCGUCUGUCCGACCCUCGAUGCAACGAGCUUUUUAUGGCACGCAUGGAAGUGGUCUGGUCGGCCCGGUCUGAACCAUUAUUUUUCACGGUUGACCUCGGAUCAGGUAGGAGUACCCGCUGAACUUAAGCAUAUCAAUAAGCGGAGGAAAAGAAACCAACAGGGAUUACCCUAGUAACGGCGAGUGAAGCGGUAACAGCUCAAAUUUGAAAUCUGGCCUUGACCGGUCCGAGUUGUAAUUUGUAGAGGAUGUUUCGGGCAAGGCUCUGGUUUAAAUUUCUUGGAACAGAAUGUCAUAGAGGGUGAGAGUCCCGUCUAGAACCGGGGGCCGCGUCCAUGUGAAACUCCUUCGACGAGUCGAGUUGUUUGGGAAUGCAGCUCAAAAUGGGUGGUAAAUUUCAUCUAAAGCUAAAUAUUGGCCAGAGACCGAUAGCGCACAAGUAGAGUGAUCGAAAGAUGAAAAGUACUUUGAAAAGAGAGUUAAACAGUAUGUGAAAUUGUUGAAAGGGAAGCGCUUGCAACCAGACUUGCGUGUGACGGUUCCCCCGGUCUUCUGACCGGGCUACUCCGUCAUGUCCAGGCCAGCAUCGGUUCGGGUGGUUGGUUAAAGGCCCCGGGAAUGUAUCUACCUCCGGGUCGACUUAUAGCCCGGGGUGUAAUGCGGCCUACCUGGACCGAGGAACGCGCUUUUGCUCGGAUGCUGGCGUAAUGGUUGUAAGCGGCC
RNAcentral lists this ribosomal RNA (763 nucleotides) under uncultured fungus. RNAcentral's name for it is "eukaryotic LSU rRNA". The stretch from base 132 to 763 matches the Rfam family "Eukaryotic large subunit ribosomal RNA", at positions 1 to 649 of the family's 3401-position model. Lineage: Eukaryota; Fungi. The record is from RNAcentral.